Canis lupus familiaris (dog) is the source of this 862-nucleotide long non-coding RNA. RefSeq lists it as uncharacterized. The record is from RefSeq and is a predicted model, not a curated record. The transcript has 5 exons. NCBI's taxonomy places the organism in Eukaryota, Metazoa, Chordata, Mammalia, Carnivora, Canidae.
CGGCAGAGCCCCUCGGAGCGCCGCGUGCCUCCCGGAGGACGGCGAGAGCCGCAGCCCCGGCGGCUGCUGGGCCGCGGAGGCGGAUUCAAGCUUUUAGGUAUGAAAACAGUGUUCAAAUAAAGCUGCUAGAGGUACUUUCAAACACUGCCAAAAACAAAGAUGACAUGAUGAUAGUCUAAUAGACUUACAGCCAGCACCUGACAACAUUUGGAAACCAGCUCCGUGGAAGUUGUGAGGCACCCAGAGAGCACAAACUUCUAUCUUUUAUCUCAUGGAUCCAAUGUAACUGUUACCGAAGAACUCAGGAACUUGGCAGGUUCGCAGCUAGUCCAUAUGGCAGUCGAGGAGAAGACAUCCUGCCCUAAAGACACUUGAGCACUCUCUGCCAGGAAAUUGUCUCCAUUGUGAAUGGUGCCCCCUGGUUGUAAACAACUGCACUACUGUAUAUGGCAGCUCAGCAGAGCAAAAUUCUUGUGGCAACGAUGUUGAUGGGAAAGAUGCUUACAAUGAAAGUACCUGGAACCUAUAUUCUGAAUAAGUCCUAGCACUACUACUUUUUAGCUCCAACGACCUUUUUAUGGGAUUGAAAUUGUUAGUUUUAUGGGCCAAAAUGACAAGUGAAAGAAAACUUCUGGCUCCAAGGCAUAAGACCCAUUCAAGUUGAAAAAAACAAAGCUGGUUCUUGCUUUUAUAGCUAUGUUUGCUUUCAUAAAGUAUGAUGCCACAUUUUUAAAUCAUAAUAUUAUUAGCAUGUGAAUAAAUGGAAAGACUUCUAGAAAUACUUUGUCUUUUCUCUCCUUCUUCUUUCCCUCCUCCUUUUUUUUUAUCCUUAAUUUUUUCCUUAUCUUCCAUAUUCUCUUGA